Long non-coding RNA from Chenopodium quinoa (quinoa), 523 nucleotides. RefSeq lists it as uncharacterized. The transcript has 2 exons. The record is from RefSeq and is a predicted model, not a curated record. NCBI's taxonomy places the organism in Eukaryota, Viridiplantae, Streptophyta, Magnoliopsida, Caryophyllales, Amaranthaceae.
UCUUUGAAAUCAACCGUUAUAUAUGACCUAUUAUUUAUUUAAUUCUCUCUCCUCCUUCAACCCUAGCUUCCAGCCUCCCCAUUCCCCCCUUCUUUUUCUUGUAUGGUUGAAAUCGCUCCUUCCCCUAAUUUUCAUAUGCAACCAACUAUCUCCUUCAUCCAUUCUCUCUCCUCAUCUCCGCCCAACUGUUGCGAACAACUCCACUGUAUACCUCCUUCAUCACCGCCUCGCGGUGGUAGCUCGCCAUUCCCUUCCGAUUAAAACACUCGGUACUCUCUCUUUGGGAUCUAAGCUUAUGAGUAUAUGAAGCAUCUGGAUCAGUUCAUAUUCGAAGCUAAAGACAUUGUCCAACACUCCAACAUGAUAUGAAUAUUUAAAGCUUUCGCUGAAGAUGCGUAUUAGAAUUUUUUUUUACUUCGUACAUAUUUAUGGGUUGUGUAAUUUGUAGUCUUUACCAUAUACUUGUAUAAAACAUUAAAUGCAAUAAUAAUUUUAAAUAUUAAAUACGAGUAUUAAAUUAAAU